Molecule: unclassified non-coding RNA, 2299 nt
Filed under: uncultured fungus
Lineage: Eukaryota; Fungi
Description: sequence contains 18S rRNA gene, ITS1, 5.8S rRNA gene, ITS2, 28S rRNA gene
Rfam family: Eukaryotic large subunit ribosomal RNA (bases 1182-2299)
Source: RNAcentral
GGAAGGAUCAUUAGAGGUUUCUUUUAAACACACAUGUCCCUCAUCUAGCGGAUGGGAGCGGCGGUAACAGCACCUCUCCCAGAGGUUCCUUCAGGUAUUCUCCAAACCAUGAUGGGUGGGAGGAAAAGUCGAUUCUCUUCACUCAGAGAUGCCUGUUGUGAAAGGACCGCUAAACACCAGCAGCAUGGUGGCUUGGUGACGGGUACACCAAGUUAGGGCCAGGAAGACAAAGUCAAGUCUCAUCCGUCGUUGUGGGGUUGUUGUCCCUGGGAUAGCGUCGUCUAUAUGACCCACUGGUGCUGGGACAGUAGCGUAUCCAUGGCGGGCCUCAUUAUGCUGGUCUGUGUAUUUGUCCUUACCCAUUUCCCCUUUCCCCCAAUUACCAAUUACCAAUUUUUUUUUACCUUACAAUUACAACUUAUAACGGUGGAUGACUCGGCUUCCGUAACGAUGAAGAACGUAGCAAACUGCGAUAAGUGAUGGAAAUUGCAGGAUACUUCGACUCAUCGAAUCUUUGAACGCAACCUGCGCCCGGGGGUUCUCCUCGGGCGUGCCUGUUUGAGCUCGGUUCCAUCAAAAAUCUACAAUCCACAUACGAAAGUGUGUGGGAUUUGAGGGUUUACCUGCCUAACAAUUCUUUGUCUGGCGGGGAGUUUUUGAGGUGGGGCCUUCUUUGGCCUUGUCUCUUUUCUCUCCUUUAGGGUAAUCCCUUUAAAUGCUUUAAUACCGAAAGGGAGGUCAAAAAAAAGAAGAAAAGAGCAGACUCAUCUGGGACCGACCUUGGGUUAAGGUCAACUCCAUAAAGUGCUCUCUUUUUUUUGUUCUACUGGCGGUUAACAGUAGGUUAACUAGAACAGAACUUCCCUUCGCGGGGAGGGGCUGGGUUAGUGUCCGAAAAGUAACUUUGGGGGGGCGGGUUGCCUCUUUUUUUUCUUUCCAAAGUGAAAAAUUACCGUUAAGCUAGUUGAGCGUUUCUUUUUUUGACUCUCCUAUCAAAGAGUAGUGGCUGGCGCUCUCGCUUGCUCCCAAGAUUGUCUGUAACUGGGACUUCUUUUUAAAAGAAGACCUAAGUUUCGGAUGAACUCGUUUCUUUUUUUUUUUUGGGUAGCUAAGCGAAGCGUACAUUCACUAGGUGUCCCCUUUUUUUCAUGUGCAAAAGAGGGGGGCACGGUAAACUUUCACUGACUCAAAUCAGGCACGAUUACCCGCUGAAUUUAAGCAUAUAAUUAGGCGGAGGAAAAGAAAAUAACAAUGAUUCCCUCAGUAAUGGCGAAUGAACAGGGAACAGCUCAUCCUGAACCUGUGGGGACUAGUCUCCUCACCGGAAUGUAGGGUGUCGACCAGCCUUAGUGGUCUUCGUCUCUCGCAGAAGUGCCCUGGAAAGGGACGCCACAGAGGGUGAAAGCCCCGUACGCGAUUAUAGAGAUGGAGGUCACGACUUUAGGUUGGAUCGUAGAGUCGAGUUGUUUGGGAGUACAACUCUAAUUGGGUGAUAAACUUCACCUAAAGCUAAAUACCAACGGAAGACCGAUAGCGAACAAGUACCGCGAGGGAAAGUUGAAAAGAACUUUGAAAAGAGAGUUAAAUAGUACCUGAAACCGUUAUGAGGUAAGGGAUCGGCACCAUCGAUUUUUUAGUACCUCUGGCUAUUCAACUUUGGGCUGUGUAGAGUUCCAGGCACCGGGAGUAGCCCUCUGUGGCUUCCCAUCUGACGUCUGAUUCGAAGCAGUCUGGGGUGUACUUAGUCAGGGGACUUUUUUUCAGAGUCACUCGCAGGGGGGGUAAGCUUUUUUCAAGCUGGUCAUUUCGGAAGCUGGUCUCUGAUCAGUGGAUGGGUGGUCAACUGCUGCUCUCCCAACGAGUGAGGGCCCCAAAAGGGGCAAGAGUGGGGGUAUUCUUGGCGAGGGACGGAGUUCGAGGCUUCUGCCCAAGUCCGGAUCCCACUCUCGAUCUCUGAACUCUUAGAUGGAAUCGAUCCUCCCGUCUUGAAACACGGACCAAGGAGUGCACUUGAUGGGCGAGUCUUAGGGUUGUUAAAACCCGAGGGCGAAAUGAAAGUAAACACACACCUGAAGCCCCGUAAAGGGGAACUGCAAGGUGGGCCCACAUUGUCUUACGAGGCAGUGUUGGAGCAAGAGCCUAUCGAGUGCGACCCGAAAGGUGGCGAACUAUGCCCGUGUAGAACGAAGCCAGAAGAAAUUCUGGUGGAAGUUCGUAGCGGUAUUGACGUGCAAAUCAUUCGUCAAACACGGGUAUAGCGGCGAAAGACUAAUCGAGCCGCCUAGUAGCUGGUUCCCUC